GUCCGCACGGUAAACUAUGGAUGCCCGCUGUUUGCGAUAUACAGUAAGCGGCCAAGCGAAAGCGUUAAGCAUCCCACCUGGGGAGUACGCCGGCAACGGUGAAACUCAAAGGAAUUGACGGGGGCCCGCACAAGCGGAGGAACAUGUGGUUUAAUUCGAUGAUACGCGAGGAACCUUACCCGGGCUUGAACUGCAGGGGAACGAUACAGAGAUGUUGAGGUCAGCAAUGACCCCUGUGGAGGUGCUGCAUGGUUGUCGU
RNAcentral lists this ribosomal RNA (259 nucleotides) under uncultured bacterium. RNAcentral's name for it is "partial 16S ribosomal RNA". It matches the Rfam family "Bacterial small subunit ribosomal RNA", at positions 793 to 1055 of the family's 1533-position model. The record is from RNAcentral.